UACGGAGGGUGCAAACGUUGCUCGGAAUCAUUGGGCGUAAAGCGCGCGCAGGCGGCCUUUUAAGUCUGAUGUGAAAGCCCACGGCUUAACCGUGGAAGGUCAUUGGAAACUGGAAGGCUUGAGUACAGAAGAGGAAAGCGGAAUUCCACGUGUAGCGGUGAAAUGCGUAGAGAUGUGGAGGAACACCAGUGGCGAAGGCGGCUUUCUGGUCUGUAACUGACGCUGAGGCGCGAAAGCGUGGGGAGCAAACAGG
Molecule: ribosomal RNA, 253 nt
Filed under: uncultured bacterium
Lineage: Bacteria
Description: partial 16S ribosomal RNA
Rfam family: Bacterial small subunit ribosomal RNA
Source: RNAcentral